GAUGAACGCUGGCGGCGUGCUUAACACAUGCAAGUCGAACGGAAAGGCCCCAGCUUGCUGGGGUACUCGAGUGGCGAACGGGUGAGUAAUACAUAAGUAACCUGGCAUCUACAGGGGGAUAACUGAUGGAAACGUCAGCUAAGACCGCAUAGGUGUAGAGAUCGCAUGAACUCUAUAUGAAAAGUGCUACGGGACUGGUAGAUGAUGGACUUAUGGCGCAUUAGCUGGUUGGUAGGGUAACGGCCUACCAAGGCGACGAUGCGUAGCCGACCUGGGAGGGUGACCGGCCACACUGGGACUGAGACACGGCCCAGACUCCUACGGGAGGCAGCAGUAGGGAAUUUUCGGCAAUGGGGGAAACCCUGACCGAGCAACGCCGCGUGAAGGAAGAAGUAAUUCGUUAUGUAAACUUCUGUCAUAGAGGAAGAACGGUGGAUGUAGGGAAUGAUAUCCAAGUGACGGUACUCUAUAAGAAAGCCACGGCUAACUACGUGCCAGCAGCCGCGGUAA
Molecule: ribosomal RNA, 510 nt
Filed under: uncultured bacterium
Lineage: Bacteria
Description: partial 16S ribosomal RNA
Rfam family: Bacterial small subunit ribosomal RNA
Source: RNAcentral